This 299-nucleotide unclassified non-coding RNA is filed under the name uncultured Ampelomyces. RNAcentral describes it as "partial contains 5.8S ribosomal RNA, internal transcribed spacer 2, and large subunit ribosomal RNA". The stretch from base 1 to 102 matches the Rfam family "5.8S ribosomal RNA", at positions 53 to 154 of the family's 154-position model. The record is from RNAcentral. Lineage: Eukaryota; Fungi; Ascomycota; Dothideomycetes; Pleosporales; Leptosphaeriaceae.
AUGCGAUAAGUAGUGUGAAUUGCAGAAUUCAGUGAAUCAUCGAAUCUUUGAACGCACAUUGCGCCCCUUGGUAUUCCAUGGGGCAUGCCUGUUCGAGCGUCAUUUGUACCUUCAAGCUUUGCUUGGUGUUGGGUGUUUGUCUCGCCUCUGCGCGCAGACUCGCCUCAAAACGAUUGGCAGCCGGCGUAUUGAUUUCGGAGCGCAGUACAUCUCGCGCUUUGUAGUCUCAACGACGACGUCCAAAAAGUACUUUUUUCACUCUUGACCUCGGAUCAGGUAGGGAUACCCGCUGAACUUAA